UAGGAAAUCUGUUGUGGAUUACCAACAUCAUCAGUUAAACCUGUUUCAAAUUUAUUGCUUUCAUUCAGUUUAAAUAAUAAAAAGGUCCAUUUGUCCCACCACAUGUAUAUACAUGAAUUUAGCUUUCAUCAUUCUCUACAGAUUUAAUCCAGUGAUUUAUGUUUUUUAACGCAUAUUCAAAGAAUCUGUUGAAGAAGCUCACCCAGACAGACAGAAGAGUGAGGUGGGAUUAACCAAAUGCAUGCACGCUUUAAAGCCAGUGGAUUCCUUUUGAGGUUCUCCUUCAGGAAGACCGGUAUUUGGUUGGAACAGAGGGAAACUUUGUCCCAGGAGAACUACACCUGAAGUUUCCUUUUCUGUGGAGUUUUUGGAGCAAAUGGCCAGACCUGAUUUGUUGGAUCCCCAGAGUCAGGCCUCAGGCCUAGGGUUCUGG
Ictidomys tridecemlineatus (thirteen-lined ground squirrel) is the source of this 433-nucleotide non-coding RNA. NCBI's taxonomy places the organism in Eukaryota, Metazoa, Chordata, Mammalia, Rodentia, Sciuridae. The record is from RefSeq and is a predicted model, not a curated record.